GUGUGUUCCAGGUAAAUCCGGUUCACUUUAACACUGAGGCGUGACGACGAGGCACUACGGUGCUGAAGCAACAAAUGCCCUGCUUCCAGGAAAAGCCUCUAAGCAUCAGGUAACAUCAAAUCGUACCCCAAACCGACACAGGUGGUCAGGUAGAGAAUACCAAGGCGCUUGAGAGAACUCGGGUGAAGGAACUAGGCAAAAUGGUGCCGUAACUUCGGGAGAAGGCACGCUGACACGUAGGUGAAGUGAUUUACUCAUGGAGCUGAAGUCAGUCGAAGAUACCAGCUGGCUGCAACUGUUUAUUAAAAACACAGCACUGUGCAAACACGAAAGUGGACGUAUACGGUGUGACGCCUGCCCGGUGCCGGAAGGUUAAUUGAUGGGGUCAGCGCAAGCGAAGCUCCUGAU
This 408-nucleotide ribosomal RNA is filed under the name Salmonella enterica. Its description in RNAcentral is "partial 23S ribosomal RNA". It matches the Rfam family "Bacterial large subunit ribosomal RNA", at positions 1525 to 1912 of the family's 2925-position model. The record is from RNAcentral. Lineage: Bacteria; Pseudomonadati; Pseudomonadota; Gammaproteobacteria; Enterobacterales; Enterobacteriaceae. RNAcentral also lists the same sequence under 1 other name.